Molecule: ribosomal RNA, 230 nt
Filed under: uncultured bacterium
Lineage: Bacteria
Description: partial 16S ribosomal RNA
Rfam family: Bacterial small subunit ribosomal RNA
Source: RNAcentral
AAGCGUGCGCAGGCGGUUAUGUAAGACAGAUGUGAAAUCCCCGGGCUCAACCUGGGAACUGCAUUUGUGACUGCAUGGCUAGAGUACGGUAGAGGGGGAUGGAAUUCCGCGUGUAGCAGUGAAAUGCGUAGAUAUGCGGAGGAACACCGAUGGCGAAGGCAAUCCCCCUGGACCUGUACUGACGCUCAUGCACGAAAGCGUGGGGAGCAAACAGGAUUAGAUACCCGUGU